CCUACGGGGGGCAGCAGUGGGGAAUAUUGGGCAAUGGGCGCAAGCCUGACCCAGCAACGUCGCGUGAAGGAAGAAGGCUCUCGGGUUGUAAACUUCUUUUUUCAGGGAAGAAGAACGUGACGGUACCUGAGGAAUAAGCCACGGCUAACUACGUGCCAGCAGCCGCGGUAAUACGUAGGUGGCAAGCGUUAUCCGGAUUUACUGGGUGUAAAGGGCGUGUAGGCGGGACUGCAAGUCAGAUGUGAAAAUCAUGGGCUCAACCUAUGGCCUGCAUUUGAAACUGUAGUUCUUGAGUACUGGAGAGGCAGACGGAAUUCGUGGUGUAGCGGUGAAAUGCGUAGAUAUUAGGAGGAACACCAGUGGCGAAGGCAGUCUGCUGGACAGCAACUGACGCUGAGGCGCGAAAGCGUGGGGAGCAAACAGGAUUAGAUACCCUGGUAGUC
This 443-nucleotide ribosomal RNA is filed under the name uncultured bacterium. Its description in RNAcentral is "partial 16S ribosomal RNA". It matches the Rfam family "Bacterial small subunit ribosomal RNA", at positions 338 to 795 of the family's 1533-position model. The record is from RNAcentral.